Molecule: ribosomal RNA, 1620 nt
Filed under: marine metagenome
Description: bacterial LSU rRNA
Rfam family: Bacterial large subunit ribosomal RNA
Source: RNAcentral
CUCGGAUGACCUGUGGUUAGGAGUGAAAGGCUAAUCAAACCCCGUAAUAGCUGGUUCUCUCCGAAAUAGCUUUAGGGCUAGCGUCGGGUAAGUACGCCGAGGAGGUAGAGCACUGAUAGGCUUAGGGUCCCUAACCGGAUACCAAAACCUGUUAAACUCCGAAUGCCUCGGAUCCCAUUACCCCGGCAGUCAGUCGAUGAGUGAUAAGAUCCAUCGUCGAGAGGGAAACAACCCAGAUCAGCGGCUAAGGUGCCAAAAUACCGUUCAGUGGUAAGGAAGUGAAGUGACAUAGACAGUGAGGAUGUUGGCUUAGAAGCAGCCACCAUUUAAACAGUGCGUAACAGCUGACUCAUCGAGUUAUUUCGCGCCGAAAAUGAUUGGCGAUAAACGGUAUACCGACGCCCUGGGUGUCUUCGGACACGGUAGGAGAGCGUAGUCUUUGCGUCGAAGCUGUUCUGUAAAGAGCGGUGGAGCGGAGACUAGCGAGAAUGCAGACAUGAGUAGCGAUAAACAAAGUGAGAAUCUUUGUCUCCGUAAACCUAAGGUUUCCUGGGCCAGGCUCGUCCUCCCAGGGUUAGCCGGGACCUAAGGCGAGGCCGAAAGGCGUAGUCGAUGGAUAACAGGUUAAUAUUCCUGUGCUAAAGCGCAAAAUGGGACGCAUGACAGUAAGGUGACACACACUAUGAUAUGUGAGUUUAGGCUUCGGCCGAAACACGUCACCCUAAGUUGUGCCGAGAAAACCGCGCAGGCCCGUACCGUAAACCGACACAGGUAGGUGAGUCGAAUAGACUAAGGAGCGCGAGAGAAAUCUCUCCAAGGAACUCGGCAAAUUAGCCCCGUAACUUCGGAAGAAGGGGUGCCCAUUUCGGUGGGCCACAGUAAAUUGGGACUGGCGACUGUUUACCAAAAACACAGCUCUCUGCAAAGUCGUGAAGACGACGUAUAGGGAGUGACACGUGACCAAUGCGAAAAGAUUAAGGUGACUUGUUAGCCCUUGAGGCGAAGCUCGGAGCCCAAGUCCCCGUGAAUGUCGGCCGUAACUAUAACGGUCCUAAGGUAGCGAAAUUCCUUGUCGGGUAAGUUCCGACCUGCACGAAUCGUGCAACGACCGGUCCGCUGUCUCGGAGAGAAUCUCGGCGAAGUUGUAAUUGCGGUGAAGAUGCCGCAUACCCGCAGUAGGACGGAAAGACCCUGUACACCUUUACUAUAAGCAAGUAUUGGCUUUUGAUUAGUGAUGCGUAGCGUAGGUGGGAGACUUUGAAGUGAUGGCUUAGGUUGUCAUGGAGUCGAAAUGUGAAACACCACUCUUUACUACUUAGAAUUCUAACAAUGAUUUCUCUGAAGCGAGACAUUGAACAGUGCUUGCGGGUUAGUUUGACUGGGGCGGUUUCCUCCCAAAAAGUAACGGAGGAGCACUAAGGUACCUUCAGCAUGGUUAGCAACCAUGCGUAGAGCGUAUGCGUAGAAGGGUGCUUGACUGUGAGACCUACAAGUCGAGCAGGUACGAAAGUAGGUGCAAAUGAUCCGGUGGUAUGAAUGUGGAAUUGCCAUCGCUCAACGGACAAAAGGUACGUCAGGGAUAACAGGCUGAUCGCGCCCAAGAGUUCAUAUCGACGGCGC